CAUUAACCUUUAGAAAGUUCACCACCGGUGGUGACCAUCGAGACACCACUUUAGCCGUACAAUGCUCUGGACGUCUAAUUAUCAAUUGAGCAUGUCCCUAGCCCUCAAGAAAAUCAGUAGCAGAUUUAACAAUGCAAGUUGGAUUAGAAACCAUAGAAUCCCAAACCUUUUUAUUAGUGGAGAACUAGAUACUCCAACAGACAGAGAGAAGGAGACUACAAUCAUCAAUAGAGAACCUAGUGAAACAGAGAGAUUUCUAUUCAAAGAUGAUGCCUCCCUAGCCCUCAAGCUCGCCAUGCAAGAUUUGUCAUCUUUGCAGGAACCUUCAGCGACCACAACUUCUUCCAGUCAACAUAUUCUAAAGUAAUCACAGAAGGGUAAGGUUGAGGACUGAUCAAUGGAUAAGCACUACGUAUUGAGUAGCGACUUGUCUCCUUUCCUGUCUAAACAACUUUAUCCUCGACCCUCAGCAAAGACAAAGGAAUCUGCAUAAUUAACUCUCUAUCACGAUCGUUAAACACUCUGCUAAUAAGAUUAAAAUUCCACCCCCAGUUACUGAGUCACAUAAAUCCCCACAUGAUUCACGGCAGCUCCCGCAAUAGGCUCAGUUGUAACACACAGAUUAAGCGCAUC
Molecule: long non-coding RNA, 633 nt
Filed under: Manihot esculenta (cassava)
Lineage: Eukaryota; Viridiplantae; Streptophyta; Magnoliopsida; Malpighiales; Euphorbiaceae
Description: long non-coding RNA (MESC_LNC007636)
Source: RNAcentral